CGGGUUGUAGUUUAAUUGGUAAAACAUCAAGCUCAUAACUUGAGUAAUGGAGGUUCAAUUCCUCUUUUCCCGG
This 73-nucleotide transfer RNA is filed under the name Polyplacotoma mediterranea. RNAcentral's name for it is "tRNA-Met". It matches the Rfam family "tRNA". From Rfam's summary of the family: Transfer RNA (tRNA) molecules are approximately 80 nucleotides in length. Their secondary structure includes four short double-helical elements and three loops (D, anti-codon, and T loops). Further hydrogen bonds mediate the characteristic L-shaped molecular structure. tRNAs have two regions of fundamental functional importance: the anti-codon, which is responsible for specific mRNA codon recognition, and the 3' end, to which the tRNAs corresponding amino acid is attached (by aminoacyl-tRNA synthetases). tRNAs cope with the degeneracy of the genetic code in two manners: having more than one tRNA (with a specific anti-codon) for a particular amino acid; and 'wobble' base-pairing, i.e. permitting non-standard base-pairing at the 3rd anti-codon position. The record is from RNAcentral. Lineage: Eukaryota; Metazoa; Placozoa.